UAAUGUGCUCUGACGAUGAACUGGGCUUUGCCUUUUGACUUGCGUUGGCCAAUGGGACACAGGCAAAUGUCAUGCAAAUACAGAUUCAAAAAGUAUUUGCCUAAUGGUGCUUGUCUUCUUGGACACAGUCAAAUUGUGAAGAAUCUUGGGGCUACCUGCUGGAAACACAGUGCCUAACAGAGAGCCAGCACAAAUCACAAGACAUGUGAGUAAAGCCAUCUUAAGCCAACCAGCCUCAGUCAAGGCACCAGGUGACUCAACUGUCACUCGUGAUCCAAGCAACACUAACAUAGAAUAUGAACUGCCCAGAUGAACCCACCACAAAAUACAGAUCCAUAGAAGCUUGAACAAAGAAAAUGGUGGUGGUUUUUUAAGCCACUAAGGUCUGAUUACUUUCUUAUAAAGCAAAUGCUAACUGAUACAUCUAAGCCGCCAGAACUUGAUAUAUAUCUAAGAAAAUUAUGUGGGGAAGAAAGUUUUAAUGUGUAUGUCAAAUACAAUCAACACCACUUUGGAAGCACACAAAGAAAUUUUGAAAAUCACAAUGAAUAUCAAAUGGAUGGAAUUCAGUGAGGUAGGUGGCUGGUGCUAAUAGAGACCGUGUGAAUCAUACAAAGCAACUGUUUGCACAUCAGAAAGCCGUCUAUGUUUUAAAGUUUUUACAUCAUAAAAAAGUUUGUUUACUUUAAAAAACACAAAACAUAAAAAGAGUCUGUUACAAGGGAGCAUUGUACUUCAUUUUAUUAAAUUUUAAGAAAUAGGUUUGGAGAAGCAGUAUGACAGUCUAAUUUUCCCAUAUUAAUGUCAAAUAAUCUCCCAUUAUUUUCAUGCAGAAUUUAUGAUUUUUAAGAACAUAUUACUGACAUUAAGUGGGAAACACUUGUGUUUCCUCAAAUGAAACUCUUUGAAGUCACAUAAUCCAUAGAAAGUGUUGGGGAUAAAAAAGGAUAGGGAUGUUUAAGGCAAAAUAUUUUAAAGCAAUGUUUGUUCUAUGCUGUCAGUGUUGCAAAAAUAAUCUCAAAAGUAAACAAACACGGCCGGGUGCAGUGGCUCACGCCUGUAAUCCCAGCACUAUGGGAGGCCGAAGUGGGCGGAUCACAAGGUCCGAAGAUCGAGACCAUCCUGGCUAAUACGGUGAAACCUCAUCUCUACUAAAAAUACAGAAAAUUAGCCAGGCAUGGUGGCGAGCGCCUGUAGUCCCAGAUAGGAGGCUGAGGCAGGAGAAUGCCAUGAACCCGGGAGGCAGAACUUGCAGUGAGCCGAGAUCUCACCACUGCACUCCAGCCUGGGUGACAGAGCGAGACUCCGUCUCAAAAAAAAAAAAAAAGUAAACAAACACUUGUUUUGACUUGUGGCAAAAUGAGUAACACCAGCCAAAAGGUCGGGAUGCCUAACAUCUACAGAUCAAGUGAUCUUGGGCAAGUAAAUAACUUCUCAAAUCCAAUUGCUCCAUCUAACGUAGAAAUACCUCGGCAAACUUCCUGAACUACCAGGAAGAACUAUUAGGACAGAGGGAGCAUCAACAUAUCUGUAGAUACCAAAUUUCGUGCUAGACUAUGUUUAAGACAGCUCAGACACGGGACAAUUAGGGGAGAUUGAAGGAAUGGGACGACUGUUUAGGGAGCACUGUCUACGGUAGGACAGGUCAUUCCUACACCCCAGAUGACACCUUCAAGCUCCCUCCUAUAAGCAACAUUUCCUAGGCCCCUGCCUAGUCUUCUCAAACUCACCUCUCCUUUCUGAAAGUUGGCCUAAACCUUCCAAAAGCACCAGUUGUUAAUAGCUAUUGAAUGAGCUAUUAUCAAUCAAAUACCGUGCAUUCUAGGGAGUAGGAUCAAUAACUGCUUGGGUCAUGCAAAACUAGGAUCUAUGCCUUUCUGUGAUUCUGCUCUGAAGCUCCAGUGAGAAGGUUCAGGCCAGAAGGGUGCUCUUUCAGAGGGGAGUCCUAUUUUCUGCUUCCAAGUGUGGAACGCCUAAUUUAUUGCAAAGACAACUGGGCCAUCACCCAGCACCCCAUCUUCCUCGUGGAACUCGUCCCUGGAAAACAGGCCGGGGUUGCCCUCUAUGCUGCCUAGAGGGCCUGCCUGCCGGGGCUGCCCGCUGUACGUCCUUCAGGCCUGGCUGGGAGGCUCAGCUGGCCCCGGGGCCCGCAUGCCGGGCCUGUCCACUGUCCUGCCUUCAGGGCUCGCCAGCCUGGGCUGCCCGCGGUCCUGUCUGCAGGGGCCGCCUGCCGGGAUUGCCCGCUCUCCUGCCUGCAGGCGCUGCUGGGAGGCUCAGCUGGCCCCGGGGCCUGCCUGCUGUCCUGCCUGCAUGGACCACCAGGCUGAGCUGCCCGCUGUCCUGCCUGCAGGGCCCGCCUGCCGGGGCUGCCCGCUGUGCAGCCUGCAAGGCCCACCUUCCGGGGUUGCCCUCUAAGCUGCCUACAGUGCCCGCCUGCCGGGGCUGCCUUCCGGGAUUGCCCGCUCUCCUGCCUGCAGGCCCUGCUGGGAGGCUCAGCUGGCUCAGCCUGCAGGGCCGGCCUGCCGGGGCUGCCCGCUAUAUUCCAGCGACAUAUUCUUUCAGUUUUGUUAAUCUGGGUCAACAAGAGGAGCUUAGUACUCCACACAAUGACUUAGGAACCUGUGCUGGUGGUGGCACUGGCAUCUUACAGCUGCUCCAUCUGGAGAAGGUUCCAGGUGAUUCCAGCUCUUCAUAUAGCUGCUGCCUCACAGAAUUAGGAUGAGUAGUGGGAAGAACUGAGUGUGGGAAUGAAGCAGAUGGGACAGAGUCCAAGAACCCAAAAGCAAGGAGGAAGAGACAGUACCGGGGCAUGAAUAGCCUUGGAGGGUUCCUGACGCCAGCCUGCAGUUCCUGGAGCUCCAGCACCUCAUCCACAACAUUUGCGAAUGGACAAGGCAGGAGUGAGGAAGAAAGGUUUCAUCUUCAGAGAAGAGGUAUCAGUAGUGUAGGGGUGAAGGUGAUGGAAGAAACGGUUGUGGAACAAAAGGAAUAGAAAGCUCCCGGCAAGGAUGGAGGCAGCACUGUUUGUUGGACAACUGAAUUGGCCCAGGUGGCCCCUGCACUCUCAGGUACCUGAGACUCCACCCGCCUUGCCUUACUGUCCACAUUUACUCAUGGUGACAACCCCCGCCCCCAAAUUUCAUUUGAAUGACAUGCGCAGGUGCAUUUGCACUGAGAUCUUUAUUCUAGGCCUGGGGCCUUGGAGCAGUGGGCAAUUGCAACACAGGACAGAGAAGAGAGUAUUGUUUGUGUCCCUGUGAUCAGACACAUGCACACACUACACACACACACACACACACACACACACACACACACACAAGGACACGGGCACAGACAUGGGUAGUAAUGAGACCUAUUAAGUAUUUUCCCCUCCAGUAGGCAGAUGUGCAUGAUACAUAAAUUACAAAUAAGAGGAACCUUGUGAACACAUUUCAAAGGCAAGAUGAGUGAAUAUCGGUGACUUGUGGUUUUCAUGUAUUUUAUAAUUCAGUUCUUGGUAUAAAAUAUAUUUUAUAUUCCAACCUCGUAUACACCUAUACACUCUUGAAAAAUCGAAAGAAGAGUUUCACUGAAGAAAACUUAAUUUCACAAGGUGUGAUACUCUCUGAUGUUUUAUUUUACAUCAUAUACUAGUUCAAUUAAAAAAUAAAUUCAUUAAGCUCAUCAGAAUUGACUGUGCCUGCAAUUUCAAAAAUG
This 3696-nucleotide long non-coding RNA is filed under the name Homo sapiens (human). Its description in RNAcentral is "HSALNT0170161". The record is from RNAcentral. Lineage: Eukaryota; Metazoa; Chordata; Mammalia; Primates; Hominidae.